Molecule: long non-coding RNA, 300 nt
Organism: Synchiropus splendidus (mandarinfish)
Lineage: Eukaryota; Metazoa; Chordata; Actinopteri; Syngnathiformes; Callionymidae
Exons: 3
Source: RefSeq, a predicted model, not a curated record
CACCGACUCCCACUCACAUUGUUUUAAUCUACAAUUGACGUCAUUAAGGAACUGAGUGGGAGAUCGGCUUGCAACCCGGCAAGGUUUCUAAAGAUACGUACUGUUAUGGACGUGAGCUAUCACCUGCACAUUCUCUGCUGGAUGUCAGUAAAAUGUUCCGGGACCGACACAUGCUACUGACUGAACUGACUCGACGUGUCCGCCUCUCCAUCCCUGUGCUCUGACUGCUCUGUGCUCUAACUGCCACUCUUCCGUGAGAUUUCACAGGAUCAAACUUUGCAACUUUACUUCUCACUUGCC